This 492-nucleotide ribosomal RNA is filed under the name uncultured bacterium. RNAcentral's name for it is "partial 16S ribosomal RNA". It matches the Rfam family "Bacterial small subunit ribosomal RNA", at positions 29 to 507 of the family's 1533-position model. The record is from RNAcentral.
AUUGAACGCUGGCGGCAUGCUUUACACAUGCAAGUCGAACGGUAACAGGCCUUCGGGUGCUGACGAGUGGCGAACGGGUGACUAAUGCAUCGGAACGUACCCAGAGGUGGGGGAUAACGCAGCGAAAGCUGUGCUAAUACCGCAUGUGAUCUGAGGAUGAAAGCGGGGGACCGAGCAGCAAUGUUUGGCCUCGCGCCUUUGGAGCGGCCGAUGUCGGAUUAGCUAGUUGGUGGGGUAAAGGCCUACCAAGGCGACGAUCCGUAGCUGGUCUGAGAGGACGACCAGCCACACUGGGACUGAGACACGGCCCAGACUCCUACGGGAGGCAGCAGUGGGGAAUUUUGGACAAUGGGCGCAAGCCUGAUCCAGCAAUGCCGCGUGCGGGAAGAAGGCCUUCGGGUUGUAAACCGCUUUUGGCAGGAACGAAACGGUGUCCGCUAAUACCGGGCGCUAAUGACGGUACCUGCAGAAUAAGCACCGGCUAACUACGUG